RNAcentral lists this ribosomal RNA (468 nucleotides) under uncultured bacterium. RNAcentral describes it as "partial 16S ribosomal RNA". It matches the Rfam family "Bacterial small subunit ribosomal RNA", at positions 28 to 507 of the family's 1533-position model. The record is from RNAcentral.
GACGAACGCUGGCGGCGUGCUUAACACAUGCAAGUCGAACGGAAAGGCCCUGCUUUUGUGGGGUGCUCGAGUGGCGAACGGGUGAGUAACACGUGAGUAACCUGCCCUUGACUUUGGGAUAACUUCAGGAGACUGGGGCUAAUACCGGAUAGGAGCUCCUGCUGCAUGGUGGGGGUUGGAAAGUUUCGGCGGUUGGGGCUGGACUCGCGGCUUAUCAGCUUGUUGGUGGGGUAGUGGCUUACCAAGGUUUUGACGGGUAGCCGGCCUGAGAGGGUGACCGGCCACAUUGGGACUGAGAGACGGCCCAGACUCCUACGGGAGGCAGCAGUGGGGAAUAUGGCGCAAUGGGCGGAAGCCUGAGGCAGCAACGCCGCGUGCGGGAUGACGGCCUUCGGGUUGUAAACCGCUUUCGCCUGUGACGAAGCGGGAGUGACGGUAAUGGGUAAAGAAGCACCGGCUAACUACGUG